AAGAAACCAGCUGCCAACGCAUCUAACCACGCUUAACAGUCAACGCAUGCCAAAAUGUGACUGUAACCGAAGAAUAUUUACACUACCAAACAGCACACAUGUUGAGGAUCUGAAUCUUACUGAUGCAAGCAUAGUUAAUCUACCAUCGCAUAGAGGAAUCUAAAAUAAAGCAUGAUGCAUUGGUUCUAAAAUAAAUCAUCAACAAGCAAAACAUCAAAUCACAGCUUGGCCUACAAAUCUUAGGGGUUUAGCUUACUAGCAACUACCAUUAUCCCCC
This 277-nucleotide long non-coding RNA is filed under the name Setaria viridis. Its description in RNAcentral is "long non-coding RNA (SVIR_LNC010813)". Lineage: Eukaryota; Viridiplantae; Streptophyta; Magnoliopsida; Poales; Poaceae. The record is from RNAcentral.